Molecule: ribosomal RNA, 253 nt
Filed under: uncultured bacterium
Lineage: Bacteria
Description: partial 16S ribosomal RNA
Rfam family: Bacterial small subunit ribosomal RNA
Source: RNAcentral
UACAUGGGGUGCAAACGUUGCUCGGAAUUAUUGGGCGUAAAGCGCACGUAGGUGGUCUGUUAUGUCAGAUGUGAAAGCCCUCGGCUUAACUGAGGAAGUGCACCUGAAACUGGCAGGCUUGAGUACUAAAGAGGGUCGCGGAAUUCCCGGUGUAGAGGUGAAAUUCGUAGAUAUCAGGAGGAACACCGGUGGCGAAGGCGGUUCUCUGGGCAUGACCUGACGCUGAGGAGCGAAAGUGUGGGGAGCGAACAGG